GGAGGAAAGCAGGGGAUCGUAAGACCUUGCGUUAUUCGAGCGGCCGACGUCUGAUUAGCUAGUAGGUGAGGUAAGAGCUCACCUAGGCGACGAUCAGUAGCGGGUCUGAGAGGAUGAUCCACCACACUGGGACUGAGACACGGCCCAGACUCCUACGGGAGGCAGCAGUGGGGAAUUUUGGACAAUGGGCGCAAGCCUGAUCCAGCCAUGCCGCGUGUCUGAAGAAGGCCUUCGGGUUGUAAAGGACUUUUGUCAGGGAGGAAAUCCCUAGCGCUAAUAUCGCUGGGGGAUGACAGUACCUGAGGAAUAAGCACCGGCUAACUACGUGCCAGCAGCCGCGGUAAUACGUAGGGUGCAAGCGUUAAUCGGAAUUACUGGGCGUAAAGCGUGCGCAGGCGGUUAGACAA
Molecule: ribosomal RNA, 407 nt
Filed under: uncultured beta proteobacterium
Lineage: Bacteria; Pseudomonadati; Pseudomonadota; Betaproteobacteria
Description: bacterial SSU rRNA
Rfam family: Bacterial small subunit ribosomal RNA
Source: RNAcentral